RNAcentral lists this ribosomal RNA (253 nucleotides) under uncultured bacterium. RNAcentral's name for it is "partial 16S ribosomal RNA". It matches the Rfam family "Bacterial small subunit ribosomal RNA", at positions 524 to 776 of the family's 1533-position model. The record is from RNAcentral.
UACGGAGGGUGCAAGCGUUAUCCGGAUUCACUGGGUUUAAAGGGUCCGUAGGCGGUUUAAUAAGUCAGUGGUGAAAGCCCAUCGCUCAACGGUGGAACGGCCAUUGAUACUGUUAAACUUGAAUUAUUAGGAAGUAACUAGAAUAUGUAGUGUAGCGGUGAAAUGCUUAUAGAUUACAUGGAAUACCAAUUGCGAAGGCAGGUUACUACUAAUGGAUUGACGCUGAUGGACGAAAGCGUGGGUAGCGAACAGG